GCAUGAAGUCGGAAUUGCUAGUAAUCGCGGAUCAGCAUGCCGCGGUGAAUACGUUCCCGGGCCUUGUACACACCGCCCGUCACACCAUGGGAGCCGGUAAUACCCGAAGUCAGUAGUCCAACCUCGUGAGGACGCUGCCGAAGGUAGGAUUGGCGACUGGGGUGAAGUCGUAACAAGGUAUC
RNAcentral lists this ribosomal RNA (182 nucleotides) under uncultured bacterium. Its description in RNAcentral is "partial 16S ribosomal RNA". It matches the Rfam family "Bacterial small subunit ribosomal RNA", at positions 1318 to 1500 of the family's 1533-position model. The record is from RNAcentral.